This 492-nucleotide ribosomal RNA is filed under the name uncultured bacterium. RNAcentral's name for it is "partial 16S ribosomal RNA". It matches the Rfam family "Bacterial small subunit ribosomal RNA", at positions 29 to 507 of the family's 1533-position model. The record is from RNAcentral.
AGUGAACGCUGGCGGUAGGCCUAACACAUGCAAGUCGAACGGCAGCACAGUAAGAGCUUGCUCUUACGGGUGGCGAGUGGCGGACGGGUGAGGAAUACAUCGGAAUCUACUUUUUCGUGGGGGAUAACGUAGGGAAACUUACGCUAAUACCGCAUACGACCUACGGGUGAAAGCAGGGGAUCUUCGGACCUUGCGCGAUUGAAUGAGCCGAUGUCGGAUUAGCUAGUUGGCGGGGUAAAGGCCCACCAAGGCGACGAUCCGUAGCUGGUCUGAGAGGAUGAUAAGCCACACUGGAAGUGAGACACGGUCCAGACUCCUACGGGAGGCAGCAGUGGGGAAUAUUGGACAAUGGGCGCAAGCCUGAUCCAGCCAUACCGCGUGGGUGAAGAAGGCCUUCGGGUUGUAAAGCCCUUUUGUUGGGAAAGAAAAGCAGCAGGUUAAUACCCCGCUGUUCUGACGGUACCCAAAGAAUAAGCACCGGCUAACUUCGUG